ACGGGAGGCAGCAGUAGGGAAUAUUGCACAAUGGGGGAAACCCUGAUGCAGCAACGCCACGUGUGGGAAGAAGCAUUUCGGUGUGUAAACCACUGUCGUGAGGGAAUAAUGCUUGGCCUCGGCCAAGUUGAAUGUACCUCGAAAGGAAGCACCGGCAAACUUCGUGCCAGCAGCCGCGGUAAUACGAGGGGUGCAAGCGUUGUUCGGAAUCACUGGGCGUAAAGGGAGCGCAGGCGGAAGUGCAAGCGGUCUGUACAAUACCGGGGCCCAACCCCGGACCUGCAGACCGGACUGCAUUUCUUGGAUAGUUCAGGGGCAAGCGGAAUUCCUGGUGUAGCGGUGAAAUGCGUAGAUAUUAGGAGGAACACCAGUGGCGAAGGCGGCUUACUGGACGAUAGCUGACGUUGAGGCUCGAAAGCGUGGGGAGCAAACAGGAUUAGAUACCCUGGUA
Molecule: ribosomal RNA, 451 nt
Filed under: uncultured Fibrobacter sp.
Lineage: Bacteria; Pseudomonadati; Fibrobacterota; Fibrobacteria; Fibrobacterales; Fibrobacteraceae
Description: partial 16S ribosomal RNA
Rfam family: Bacterial small subunit ribosomal RNA
Source: RNAcentral